RNAcentral lists this long non-coding RNA (267 nucleotides) under Arachis ipaensis. RNAcentral describes it as "long non-coding RNA (AIPA_LNC001153)". The record is from RNAcentral. Lineage: Eukaryota; Viridiplantae; Streptophyta; Magnoliopsida; Fabales; Fabaceae.
ACAACAGACUGACCCAACCCGACAAACCUAACCCAUCCCCACAACCCGUUCCCCCUACUGCCAUCUUCCAAUCCUAACAGCGGCAAGGAGCUUGAACGCUGAGCAGAUGGAGCUCUUCUUGGAGUUGGCGCCACCGCGCCGAAGACCUUUCCGAUCUCGUCUCGAUGUCGCUGCUGGGCCGAGAAGGGUGUCCAUCGAAACGUCCCCUCCCUUCCUGCGUUGACAAAGACAACAACCUCCUGCAGAAGACUCCUCCGCCGCUUUGUC